AUACGUAUGUCGCAAGCGUUAUCCGGAAUUAUUGGGCGUAAAGCGAGUCUAGGCGGCUUGUUAAGUCAGAUGUGAAAAUGCGGGGCUCAACUCCGUAUUUCGUUUGAAACUGGCAGGCUAGAGUACUGGAGAGGUGGGCGGAACUACAAGUGUAGAGGUGAAAUUCGUAGAUAUUUGUAGGAAUGCCGAUAGUGAAGACAGCUCACUGGACAGAUCCUGACGCUAAAGCUCGAAAGCGUGGGGAGCGAACAGGAUUAGAUACCCUAGUAGUCC
This 273-nucleotide ribosomal RNA is filed under the name uncultured bacterium. Its description in RNAcentral is "partial 16S ribosomal RNA". It matches the Rfam family "Bacterial small subunit ribosomal RNA", at positions 523 to 796 of the family's 1533-position model. The record is from RNAcentral.